Molecule: long non-coding RNA, 2103 nt
Organism: Tupaia belangeri chinensis (Chinese tree shrew)
Lineage: Eukaryota; Metazoa; Chordata; Mammalia; Scandentia; Tupaiidae
Exons: 4
Source: RefSeq, a predicted model, not a curated record
GGAAGGGAAGUAGCCACUUAACUACAACUCCCGGCAUCCCAGGAGACUGGGGUGACGCACUUCCGACAGUCGGGAAGUAGGGGGGGGAGGGAAGUGGAGCUCUCGGCGGUUACGAGGAUCAAGCAGGAGGGUCGUUAACCUUGUGGCGCCGCUCAGGCCUGGCUGGCGGUGCAGGGUCGCCCUCCUUUGGCUUCGCCUCUGGGAAAGAGGUUGCUGAGGCAACCUUAGCUUCUCGUAACCGCCUAGGCGGCACUGUCUCCUGCGGGCAGCGCGGGACUGCAUUUUCGUAGUUUUCUGUCUCUUCGGAGGAGAGGGGGUCGAAGCAGUCCCUGGUGGCCACCUCGGUUACUCUCACAGCCUGGCCCAGCUGUUGUUUGGAUCAGGGCCUGAUGACGCUGCUCCUCUAGUCGUGGAACACGACAGUUUUUUGGUGGGAGGACUUCAGAGGCCAUUCGCUGUAGUCACGGAUUCUGUGUACUAACGGUUAUCAAACCCUGGUUUGUCUGAGAAUCACCUGUUUGGGGGAGGGAGCUUCUUAUAAAUGUAGAUUCCUGGCCAUUACCCAGAGAUGGAGUCACUAGGUAACUCCGGGCAUCUUAGGAUAAACUGAUAUGCAGCACGCAGGCAAGCUCUUGCGAAGUUAUUGCCCUCGGAAGUGAACUGACUUUUGACAUGAGUAGUUGGAGAAACAAGACAGAUACCAUGACUUUAAACUUCCUCUUGGACUUCCAGAGCUAAACAUGAGACUGCAGAAAUGGUGUUAGAUUGGCUACCAGAAGUCGACAACUACCAAUUGAGAGCAAUCUCUGAAGCUGACCCUCCUACAACUGUGUAAGAAGUUGCUGCAGAACUCAAUGUCUACCGUUCUAAGUUGUUUGGUGUUUGAAGCAAACUGGGAAGGUGAAAAAACUCAUUGCUUUCAGCAGACUUCAAUCAAAGGAAACAGUUCCACAAGUCUACCAAAAGCAAGACCCUUAAAAAGAAGCCUUUCUUUAUGGCUUAAAGACUCAUAUGUUUGGACGGCUCAGCAAGUUUCAGGCACAUUCUGGAAUGCACUCCUAGAAGAGAUGAUAACUGGGGAACAUUCUGGAGAAGUAAGGACAGCACUGCAGAGGGGGAAAAGAAAUCUGGUGUGGAAACAUUACUUUAACGUUUGCCUGGUCCAAACCAUGAGAAGAAUGGGUUCUGAAUUACUUUCCUCUUUUCUCUUUCUUAAAAAAAGGAAAAAGAAAAAGAAAAGAAAAAAAAGAGGGAGCUGGAAAGUAUUAUUUUAGAUUUCAGAAUAUCAGAUAUAAAGCAUUACAAUGAACCGUCAAAGAAAUAAGCCAAGCUGAGAAGUUUGAGAUUGAUGUUGGCAGUAUCACCUCUCCUCCCUAGUGAAGGGGCACUUUCUAUCUGUAUCAAAUGCUCCUUGCCCCAUGGGUGUUACUGCCUGGGAGGCAAGCCUUAUCAGAAGGAGAGAAAGCCCUGCCUCCAUUUCAUAUCUGUGGGUUCUUUUGGGUCCCCCACGGAAGUCUGGCUGUCUCCUGAGUUGCUUCUGGGUAGUCUGGGAAGGCUGCUCCUGGAAUGGCCGGCAGUAGACAGGAGAAUUGGAUUGGGUACAGUCUUGAAAAUCUUGAUUUUCUGAGAGAUUAGAAGAACUAUCUAAUUAGUUCUUCUACUCUUAAGGGAGAGUUAGGUGAAAUAUCAAAAACACUCUGGACAUGAGUUCACUGAGGCCAAGUGGUGACAGAGUGGUAAAGCACAAAGCUCUGCAAGGCAGUCACACAUGGGAAGGUUCCUGGUUCAAGUCUGGAGACCUCCCUGAGUAUGUGGGGCACAGUAUGCCAGCUGACUGAAGACUGGGGGUGGAUAGUGUUGUCGAGACCUGGUUGGAGGUACUGUUUCUCUCUUUCUCAUAGAAUAAAUACAUAAAACUUAAAACGAUAUUAUAAGUUUAUCCUUCAGGAAAAAAAGACCUCAUUGGAGACCUUGGAAACUCAUUUCAGCUAUCACAGAUGAUCAGAGUUGGGCGUGGCUUGGAAAGAUACUUGAGACAACGUUUAGCACAAAAACGCAGUUUGCAGGAAACUUGCCUCUCACCUCUGCAGUCUAGCAAGUAGG